RNAcentral lists this non-coding RNA (121 nucleotides) under uncultured Lawsonibacter sp. RNAcentral describes it as "FMN riboswitch (RFN element)". It matches the Rfam family "FMN riboswitch aptamer (RFN element)". From Rfam's summary of the family: The RFN element is a highly conserved domain that is found frequently in the 5'-untranslated regions of prokaryotic mRNAs that encode for flavin mononucleotide (FMN) biosynthesis and transport proteins. Lineage: Bacteria; Bacillati; Bacillota; Clostridia; Eubacteriales; Oscillospiraceae. The record is from RNAcentral.
UGUCUUCAGGGCGGGGUGAGAUUCCCCACUGGCGGUAUAGUCCGCGACCAGAUACAGUUUUGUAUCUGCUGACUCGGUGCAACUCCGGGACCAACGGUUACAGUCCGGAUGGAAGAAGAUG